AUCGUCUAAUUCUCAACCAUCUUACUUAAAAUUAAAGGGUCAUUAGUUUUAAAUAAGUAAAGAGA
This 65-nucleotide transfer RNA is filed under the name Erythromma lindenii. RNAcentral's name for it is "partial tRNA-Tyr". The record is from RNAcentral. Lineage: Eukaryota; Metazoa; Arthropoda; Insecta; Odonata; Coenagrionidae.